This 266-nucleotide ribosomal RNA is filed under the name uncultured bacterium. Its description in RNAcentral is "partial 16S ribosomal RNA". It matches the Rfam family "Bacterial small subunit ribosomal RNA", at positions 793 to 1055 of the family's 1533-position model. The record is from RNAcentral.
GUCCUGGCAGUAAACGGUGCGCGUUUGGUGUGGGAGGAUUCGACCCCUUCCGUGCCGGAGCUAACGCGUUAAACGCGCCGCCUGGGGAAUACGAUCGCAAGAUUAAAACUCAAAGAAAUUGACGGGGCCCGCACAAGCGGUGGAGUAUGUGGCUUAAUUCGAUGCAACGCGAAGAACCUUACCUGAGCUUGACAUGCAUCUCUAAGUCGGUGAAAGCCGGCGAGUGUAGCAAUACACAAUUUGCACAGGUGCUGCAUGGCUGUCGU